Molecule: ribosomal RNA, 515 nt
Filed under: uncultured bacterium
Lineage: Bacteria
Description: partial 16S ribosomal RNA
Rfam family: Bacterial small subunit ribosomal RNA
Source: RNAcentral
GAUGGACGCUGGCGGCGUGCCUAAUACAUGCAAGUCGAGCGAAUGGAUUAAGAGCUUGCUCUUAUGAAGUUAGCGGCGGACGGGUGAGUAACACGCGGGUAACCUGCCCAUAAGACUGGGAUAACUCCGGGAAACCGGGGCUAAUACCGGAUAACAUUUUGAACCGCAUGGUUCGAAAUUGAAAGGCGGCUUCGGCUGUCACUUAUGGAUGGACCCGCGUCGCAUUAGCUAGUUGGUGAGGUAACGGCUCACCAAGGCAACGAUGCGUAGCCAACCUGAGCGGGUGAUCGGCCACACUGGGACUGAGACACGGCCCAGACUCCUACGGGAGGCAGCAGUAGGGAGUCUUCCGCAAUGGACGAAAGUCUGACGGAGCAACGCCGCGUGAGUGAUGAAGGCUUUCGGGUCGUAAAACUCUGUUGUUAGGGAAGAACAAGUGCUAGUUGAAUAAGCUGGCACCUUGACGGUACCUAACCAGAAAGCCACGGCUAACUACGUGCCAGCAGCCGCCGUAA